Molecule: unclassified non-coding RNA, 246 nt
Filed under: Hevea brasiliensis (rubber tree)
Lineage: Eukaryota; Viridiplantae; Streptophyta; Magnoliopsida; Malpighiales; Euphorbiaceae
Source: RNAcentral
UAAUACGGUCCUCCUCGUCGGACGGAAAGCCCAACGGACAAGUCUGAUGAAUGUGGACCUGAUGAAGAGCCAGACCGAACAGAGCUCCGGCUGCGUACCUUUGCAUUGGCGUCAAUGUUGAGGACGACAUCGUUUUUGUUCCAAAAGAAAACAAGUUAUCAAGUUGUUGUUUUUUUUCUGUGAGAUGGAGGAAUAGCAUUCAAGUAUCAAGUUAUAAAUGAAAUGAAAAAGUAUUCAGUAUUUCAG